GGGUUGUGAGGUUAAGCGACUAAGCGUACACGGUGGAUGCCCUGGCAGUCAGAGGCGAUGAAGGACGUGCUAAUCUGCGAUAAGCGUCGGUAAGGUGAUAUGAACCGUUAUAACCGGCGAUUUCCGAAUGGGGAAACCCAGUGUGUUUCGACACACUAUCAUUAACUGAAUCCAUAGGUUAAUGAGGCGAACCGGGGGAACUGAAACAUCUAAGUACCCCGAGGAAAAGAAAUCAACCGAGAUUCCCCCAGUAGCGGCGAGCGAACGGGGAGCAGCCCAGAGCCUGAAUCAGUGUGUGUGUUAGUGGAAGCGUCUGGAAAGGCGCGCGAUACAGGGUGACAGCCCCGUACACAAAAAUGCACAUGCUGUGAGCUCGAUGAGUAGGGCGGGACACGUGGUAUCCUGUCUGAAUAUGGGGGGACCAUCCUCCAAGGCUAAAUACUCCUGACUGACCGAUAGUGAACCAGUACCGUGAGGGAAAGGCGAAAAGAACCCCGGCGAGGGGAGUGAAAAAGAACCUGAAACCGUGUACGUACAAGCAGUGGGAGCACGCUUAGGCGUGUGACUGCGUACCUUUUGUAUAAUGGGUCAGCGACUUAUAUUCUGUAGCAAGGUUAACCGAAUAGGGGAGCCGAAGGGAAACCGAGUCUUAACUGGGCGUUAAGUUGCAGGGUAUAGACCCGAAACCCGGUGAUCUAGCCAUGGGCAGGUUGAAGGUUGGGUAACACUAACUGGAGGACCGAACCGACUAAUGUUGAAAAAUUAGCGGAUGACUUGUGGCUGGGGGUGAAAGGCCAAUCAAACCGGGAGAUAGCUGGUUCUCCCCGAAAGCUAUUUAGGUAGCGCCUCGUGAAUUCAUCUCCGGGGGUAGAGCACUGUUUCGGCAAGGGGGUCAUCCCGACUUACCAACCCGAUGCAAACUGCGAAUACCGGAGAAUGUUAUCACGGGAGACACACGGCGGGUGCUAACGUCCGUCGUGAAGAGGGAAACAACCCAGACCGCCAGCUAAGGUCCCAAAGUCAUGGUUAAGUGGGAAACGAUGUGGGAAGGCCCAGACAGCCAGGAUGUUGGCUUAGAAGCAGCCAUCAUUUAAAGAAAGCGUAAUAGCUCACUGGUCGAGUCGGCCUGCGCGGAAGAUGUAACGGGGCUAAACCAUGCACCGAAGCUGCGGCAGCGACGCUUAUGCGUUGUUGGGUAGGGGAGCGUUCUGUAAGCCUGCGAAGGUGUGCUGUGAGGCAUGCUGGAGGUAUCAGAAGUGCGAAUGCUGACAUAAGUAACGAUAAAGCGGGUGAAAAGCCCGCUCGCCGGAAGACCAAGGGUUCCUGUCCAACGUUAAUCGGGGCAGGGUGAGUCGACCCCUAAGGCGAGGCCGAAAGGCGUAGUCGAUGGGAAACAGGUUAAUAUUCCUGUACUUGGUGUUACUGCGAAGGGGGGACGGAGAAGGCUAUGUUGGCCGGGCGACGGUUGUCCCGGUUUAAGCGUGUAGGCUGGUUUUCCAGGCAAAUCCGGAAAAUCAAGGCUGAGGCGUGAUGACGAGGCACUACGGUGCUGAAGCAACAAAUGCCCUGCUUCCAGGAAAAGCCUCUAAGCAUCAGGUAACAUCAAAUCGUACCCCAAACCGACACAGGUGGUCAGGUAGAGAAUACCAAGGCGCUUGAGAGAACUCGGGUGAAGGAACUAGGCAAAAUGGUGCCGUAACUUCGGGAGAAGGCACGCUGAUAUGUAGGUGAAGUCCCUUGCGGAUGGAGCUGAAAUCAGUCGAAGAUACCAGCUGGCUGCAACUGUUUAUUAAAAACACAGCACUGUGCAAACACGAAAGUGGACGUAUACGGUGUGACGCCUGCCCGGUGCCGGAAGGUUAAUUGAUGGGGUUAGCGGUAACGCGAAGCUCUUGAUCGAAGCCCCGGUAAACGGCGGCCGUAACUAUAACGGUCCUAAGGUAGCGAAAUUCCUUGUCGGGUAAGUUCCGACCUGCACGAAUGGCGUAAUGAUGGCCAGGCUGUCUCCACCCGAGACUCAGUGAAAUUGAACUCGCUGUGAAGAUGCAGUGUACCCGCGGCAAGACGGAAAGACCCCGUGAACCUUUACUAUAGCUUGACACUGAACAUUGAGCCUUGAUGUGUAGGAUAGGUGGGAGGCUUUGAAGUGUGGACGCCAGUCUGCAUGGAGCCGACCUUGAAAUACCACCCUUUAAUGUUUGAUGUUCUAACGUUGACCCGUAAUCCGGGUUGCGGACAGUGUCUGGUGGGUAGUUUGACUGGGGCGGUCUCCUCCUAAAGAGUAACGGAGGAGCACGAAGGUUGGCUAAUCCUGGUCGGACAUCAGGAGGUUAGUGCAAUGGCAUAAGCCAGCUUGACUGCGAGCGUGACGGCGCGAGCAGGUGCGAAAGCAGGUCAUAGUGAUCCGGUGGUUCUGAAUGGAAGGGCCAUCGCUCAACGGAUAAAAGGUACUCCGGGGAUAACAGGCUGAUACCGCCCAAGAGUUCAUAUCGACGGCGGUGUUUGGCACCUCGAUGUCGGCUCAUCACAUCCUGGGGCUGAAGUAGGUCCCAAGGGUAUGGCUGUUCGCCAUUUAAAGUGGUACGCGAGCUGGGUUUAGAACGUCGUGAGACAGUUCGGUCCCUAUCUGCCGUGGGCGCUGGAGAACUGAGGGGGGCUGCUCCUAGUACGAGAGGACCGGAGUGGACGCAUCACUGGUGUUCGGGUUGUCAUGCCAAUGGCACUGCCCGGUAGCUAAAUGCGGAAGAGAUAAGUGCUGAAAGCAUCUAAGCACGAAACUUGCCCCGAGAUGAGUUCUCCCUGACUCCUUGAGAGUCCUGAAGGAACGUUGAAGACGACGACGUUGAUAGGCCGGGUGUGUAAGCGCAGCGAUGCGUUGAGCUAACCGGUACUAAUGAACCGUGAGGCUUAACCUUACAACGCCGAAG
Molecule: ribosomal RNA, 2927 nt
Filed under: Escherichia coli
Lineage: Bacteria; Pseudomonadati; Pseudomonadota; Gammaproteobacteria; Enterobacterales; Enterobacteriaceae
Description: 23S ribosomal RNA
Rfam family: Bacterial large subunit ribosomal RNA
Source: RNAcentral